AGGCCAAACCGUAUGUGUGUGAUACCCGGCAGGGGUUGCAUGUACGGGGUUGUGGGAUUGUUCUUUCAUGGUCUGCCGGCCGUGAGGUGAGUCAGAAACCGUUGGUGUAGGCGAAGGACAUGCGAAAGGUCCGGCGUAGAGGGUAAGACCCCCGUAGCUGAAACAUUGACGGCUCACUUGAAUUAUUCCCAAGUAGCACGGGGCCCGAGAAAUCCUGUGUGAAUCUGGCGGGACCACCCGCU
Molecule: ribosomal RNA, 242 nt
Filed under: Streptomyces sp. SID8380
Lineage: Bacteria; Bacillati; Actinomycetota; Actinomycetes; Kitasatosporales; Streptomycetaceae
Description: partial 23S ribosomal RNA
Rfam family: Bacterial large subunit ribosomal RNA
Source: RNAcentral